AUUUAAUCCAAAUUGACAGACUUGCGUCCAGUUUUUUACACUGCAAUCCCACUGAAAGCGCGAUAAAAAAUGGAUAAAUAUCUUUGAGCAACAUUAACUGGAUAAGUUCGUACUAUCUCACCAGUAAGCAAGUCAUAUACUACAAAAAGGAUCAAGUUUCAUGAGAAUUGAAAAUUA
Molecule: long non-coding RNA, 177 nt
Organism: Copidosoma floridanum
Lineage: Eukaryota; Metazoa; Arthropoda; Insecta; Hymenoptera; Encyrtidae
Source: RefSeq, a predicted model, not a curated record